CAGAGGGAGGUAAUUGAAUCAUGGGGGCCAGUCUUUCCCGUGCUACUCUUGUGGUAGUGAAUACAUCUCAUGAGAUCUGAUGGGUUUAUCAGGGGUUUCUGCUUUUGCUUCGUCCUCAUUUUUUCUUGCUGCCGCCAUGUGCCUUUUGCCUCCCGCCGUGAUUCUGAGGCUUCCCCAGCCAUGUGGAACUCACUUACUGGACACCUCCACCUGGAUGUGCCACGACCCUUGGCCUUGCUGGGCCCAGGAGGACCUUCUGCUUCCUCCCAAACCAACAUCUUCUGUGUUACCUAUUCCUGUUCAUGAUGGACUUCUGAUGAGCCCGGUCACCCAGGCUCUAGGACGUUGGAGUUUGGAUCUUGCUCAUGGCUGGCGAAGUGUUUAGAUCCUUUUGGAUGUCCUUCCAGAAGAGCACUCCCCAUCAACCCGCGGGCAGCUGAAUUCCCACCUCAGACUCUGCUCCAAGGGCGCCGUGUCUACGGAGGCGACGCUGAGGAUGGCUUAUCAGGUUGGGUCACUCACCCCACCACGAGGACCUGACCUUAAAUUCUCGGUGCAUCCUAAGUGUGACCCAGAGACCGCCUGCGUCAGAAGCACCUAGAAUGCUGUGGAAGCACCUUCAAUGCAGAUUCCUGGGCCCAACCCUGGUUCCACUGAAUCGGGGUCAGCUGGUGGGCCCAGGAAUUGGCAUUUUCAACAGCUUCCAAUUGUACACCAGAAUACUCAAGCUUGUGACUCCCCUGCUCACUGUUUUCUUCAUCCUUUCUCACUUCCUGCUGAGUACAUAUGUAUUUUACUACUUUUAGAGAUACUUUUACAAUAAAGGCAGUCUUGAAAGUGUGUCCGGAAUUGGUGGGUUCUUGGUCUCGCUGACUUCAAGAAUGAAGGCGCGGACCUGAGUGUUACAGUUCUUAAAGGCGGCACGUUGGGAGUUGUUCGUUUCUCCCGGUGGGCUCGUGGUCUCGCCGGCUUCAGAAGUGAAGCUGCAGACCUUCGCGGUGGGUGUUACAGCCCAUAGAGGCAACGAGUUCGGAAUUGUUCCUUCCUCCCGGUGGGCUCCUGGUCUCGAUAGCUUACAGGAACGAAGCUGCAGACCUUAGCGGUGGAUGCUACAGCUCAUAAAGGUAGUGCAGACCCAAAGACCAAGAGAACAAAACUACCACAACGCAGAACAGAACCCUAGCGGGUUGCCGCUGCUGGCUCAGUCUCCCCCACCCCCAGUUUGUUCUCGGGACAAACCAUCGGUCUAGGAUGAACUCCGUUUUCCACUGGAAGGUCUCAAGAGGCUAAAGGCACCCCACGGGCUUCUCCCCGAGGAAGGGACUGAGGACAGAGGAGGGCCACGGUUGCAAUGAGGACAGCUCCGGCUCAAAAGCGUCCCUGGACCCUUGACUCUCAGCUUGUCUUGUCUUCCUUAAUAAAUUUCAGUUUGCGGGGGAGGGGAGAGGGAUAGCAUUAGGAGAUAUACCUAAUGCUAAAUGACGAGUUAAUGG
Molecule: long non-coding RNA, 1493 nt
Filed under: Homo sapiens (human)
Lineage: Eukaryota; Metazoa; Chordata; Mammalia; Primates; Hominidae
Description: HSALNT0344162
Source: RNAcentral